GUGCCAGCCGCCGCGGUAAUACAGAGGGGGCAAGCGUUGUUCGGAAUUACUGGGCGUAAAGGGCGCGUAGGCGGCCUUCUAAGUCAUGCGUGAAAUCCCCGGGCUCAACCCGGGAACUGCGUCUGAUACUGGAAGGCUUGAAUCCGGGAGAGGGAUGCGGAAUUCCAGGUGUAGCGGUGAAAUGCGUAGAUAUCUGGAGGAACACCGGUGGCGAAGGCGGCAUCCUGGACCGGCAUUGACGCUGAGGCGCGAAAGCUAGGGGAGCAAACGGGAUUAGAAACCCCGGUAGUCC
RNAcentral lists this ribosomal RNA (292 nucleotides) under uncultured bacterium. Its description in RNAcentral is "partial 16S ribosomal RNA". It matches the Rfam family "Bacterial small subunit ribosomal RNA", at positions 505 to 796 of the family's 1533-position model. The record is from RNAcentral.